Molecule: long non-coding RNA, 1002 nt
Filed under: Meleagris gallopavo (turkey)
Lineage: Eukaryota; Metazoa; Chordata; Aves; Galliformes; Phasianidae
Description: lncRNA (ENSMGAG00000017661.1)
Source: RNAcentral
AUGCAGCCAGAGGCACAGAGAGUUUCUGUUCUCAGGCAUGACAUCAGCUGCGGGUGGCUGGAAGGUGACAUGCUGGGAGCCAGGCUCCACAAGCACUGGCCUUGGGAGCACCCUCCUGAGCCCUGGAGAUUGCUGCUGGACUCGGCACCGAGCACACAGUGCCUGUUCAGAGCCCAUGUGCUCUUCCUUGCCAUGCCUGGACUGCUAGGCAGGCUGGUCAUGCACAAAAUGUUGAUGGAAAGAGGAGUGCUGGUGAGUGGGUUUGGUCAGCAUCUUUCCUGCUGGCCUGGCUGCCACCAGAGCUGGUGGUGGCACUGUGAUUUCUGUGUUUGUUUUUCUUGGAGCCCAGAUCUGGUAUUUUGUGAUUUGGGAGAAAAGCAUGCUAUUUUUAAGCAUCUUUCCCCAGCAGGACUGAAAGUGUUGGCAUCUCUGCUGCUUGGUGCUUUGGGAUGGGGAGCACCCAGCGAUGGGGAUGUGAGGAAGGCAGAAGGCACUGCAUCUCGUCCUGGCCAUGACAGCAUCUGCAUCACCAUUGGCCAGUGCUCAGUCUCCUUUAUAUGUCUUCCUGGUUUAAUCCUGCAUUUAACAUUACACAGCACCUGCUCCAGGAUGGAGGGAAAUGCUAUCAUUGCGUCAGAUCAAACGGUGGCUGCUGCUCCUUCCUCUGCACGCCGUACCACUGCUCCUUUUGGGCAGCAGAAGGGCAGUGUGGCACGGCAGGUCACCUCGCCUGCCACCUCCUCUGUGCAGAGCACACGCUGCCCGGCUGGGCUCAAGGGGAAGCAUCCAUCAGAAAAACAUCCCCAAGGUAAAACAGCACUGCAUGUUUCCAGCCAGACAUCAGCAGCGGGUCCAGCCGGGGCAGCGUGUGGAGCUGGGGCUGUUGGAGAGCCCUCUGCACAGCCUUGGCUCCGGGAGCAGCUGCUUUGCAAUACAAAUGGCUUAAACAUCAAACACGGACCGUGUUGCAGCGCAGACAAGGCGCAUCAAAGAGCUGUUUAG